RNAcentral lists this transfer RNA (77 nucleotides) under Nitrospiraceae bacterium. RNAcentral describes it as "tRNA-Arg". It matches the Rfam family "tRNA". From Rfam's summary of the family: Transfer RNA (tRNA) molecules are approximately 80 nucleotides in length. Their secondary structure includes four short double-helical elements and three loops (D, anti-codon, and T loops). The record is from RNAcentral. Lineage: Bacteria; Pseudomonadati; Nitrospirota; Nitrospiria; Nitrospirales; Nitrospiraceae. RNAcentral also lists the same sequence under 1 other name.
GCGCCCAUAGCUCAGUUGGAUAGAGCACCAGACUACGAAUCUGGGGGUCAGAGGUUCGAAUCCUCUUGGGCGCGCCA